GACUACCUACGGGGCGCAGCAGUAGGGAAUAUUGCUCAAUGGGGGAAACCCUGAAGCAGCAACGCCGCGUGGAGGAUGAAGGUUUUAGGAUUGUAAACUCCUUUUGUAAGAGAAGAUUAUGACGGUAUCUUACGAAUAAGCACCGGCUAACUCCGUGCCAGCAGCCGCGGUAAUACGGAGGGUGCAAGCGUUACUCGGAGUCACUGGGCGUAAAGAGCGCGUAGGCGGGUGGUCAAGUCAGAUGUGAAAUCCUGUAGCUUAACUACAGAACUGCAUUUGAAACUUAUCAUCUUGUGUAUGGGAGG
Molecule: ribosomal RNA, 305 nt
Filed under: uncultured bacterium
Lineage: Bacteria
Description: bacterial SSU rRNA
Rfam family: Bacterial small subunit ribosomal RNA
Source: RNAcentral